UGGGACAAGUUAGGAUUGUAUUCGGUGGGAUCAACCGCUCAGUGUGGGAUUUGGUGAGGGGAAGGCAUGCGGCUUACAGAGAGGAGGAGAGAGAGAGAGAGAGGGGGAGGGAGAGAGCGUUCUGCAGCACGCUAGCAGUUUUCGUUCAGAUCCAGGUCACUUCUCUCUAUGGUGGUCCCUUAGAGUUUACGUUUAUCGUGCAAAGCACAGAAGACCCUGCUUAUCGCGCUGUAUCUAUGCUACUAUCAGAGCUUAAGGACGAGGUUGAUGUUAAGAUUGUUGUGGCUGGUAUUUCAACCACCUGCGGUCAGAAAAUUCACAACCAAUUGCAAAAAACCUUGGGCGAGCAAACAGGCAUAACCAAUUCUGCCAGAAUUGCUGGAGAAUUCCACAACCAAGGUCAUCGAGUACGGCCGGAAGCAUGUUGAGGGUCGAGACGGCGAUAGCACCGAUGUUGGCAAGAGCGGCGACCCCUUUUCAAGGUACGGUCUUCACUGAUUUGAAGUUUUAGUUUGUUUGUGAUUUUUUUUCUUUUGGAUUUGUAAUUUAUCCUUUUGUACCUGACAAUUUGUGAUCCAAAAUUUUUUUCGCGCGUUUUGAUUUUCCUUUGAAUUUAUAUGGGUUUAGAUUUUUAUUGUUAAUUUACUGAUGUUGGGGGAUCAUUUUGGCUUCUAGAUUGGUUUGAACAUUUUUAUGUCUUUGUUUUUUCCUUUGUGUAGUUUUAGUCAGAUUGAAGUGUUCUUUGUAAUUUGAGAUUUAAUUGAUGUGUUUAGGAUUAUCUACAUAUAUAUAUAUAUAUAUAUAUAUAUAAUCAAUGUUGAAAUUUUAAACUAAAUCACUAUGCUGCAAUCAAACCCACAGAUUGUUGGGUCCAAAAAAAGGAGUGAACAACAUGAAAUUGGCUUUGGGUAAGCUUCCACUCUCUUCUGUGUAUGAUCUCUUUGAGAAGUGAUUUUGGUUUGUGCUUUCAAAAAAGAUGAUGGCAAUUUCAUAUUUGGACAGAGAAAACAAUAGGCAUGUAUAAUGAAGUGGAAUUUUUCAUGGUAUUAUCAACAUGCAUGUUAUAAAAAAUUCUUCAUUUAAUUUUUGGGUUGUGUGUUUUGUGCUGUUUCAUUAGUGACUUGUGUGUUUUGUUGUAUCUGAUUCCGGUAUCUGAUUCGAGUAUACGUCAUUGAAGAGUGUUAAUGAAUCCAAACAUGGGUAUUGAGGUGUUCUUGCUAGAAAAGCCAAAGACAUUCUUGACGAUGAUGAUAAUGGAGUUCUGGAUUAUGAUUCACCCCGAACAACAAGGAUGGAUAUGCUGUCUAUGCCAACAAGGGGGUAAGGCUAUGUUGGAGCAAAAACUGUGCAGGCAAAGACAUAAGAGUGAUGGAUUUUGGAAUGAAAUGCAGAGGAUAUCAUUUUGUGCUGCUUAAGGGUCUAUAUGCACAGGAGAACUCAAAAGGUUUUAAAGGAUCCUUUGCAGAUGCAGGAUCUUCUGCUAAGUUUUGUCCGGAUUGUGUGAACCGUUGCUUCAGCCAAAACAGGAACAACAGGGAUUGUAGACUACACAAACUUGGAAGAUAUGAAGUUGGUGAAGGACAUGGGGAGAAGAGCACUUAUGAAAUGGUAAGGUGCACAAAUAUGGGAAAAGCACGACAGGGGAAAGCUGGGAUAUUGUUGUGGAUGAGGAGACCUAUUACGAGGCUGAGCUGUGAAUUAAACCUCGAGAAAGGCCACCUGGCGUCUACCCUGCCCUUGAUUUUGGAUCGUCGUCGCUUUCAGUUGAUGAACCACCAGAUGAAUUUUCUCUAAUAUCGUGCGGCUCAAAAAAUUUUGUAUGUGUUUACGUGUAUUUUUGUGCUCUGAAUAAUUCUAAUCAAAUUCCAUUGCUCUCCUAAGCUAAAGUCAGAAUUUGUAGCAUAUAAGGGAAGGUUAGCAGAUACUUGCCAAUUAUCCAAAGCUGGAUAUUAAGGUCUUUAAGCUUAAUAUCUUUUUGUAGGUGUAGCAUCUGCUUGGAAAAAGGUUUCAACUUUAAUGUCUGUAUGUGUCAUUACUCUUCACUGAUUGUGAAGAACCAGGAUUGAAGAAAAGCAUCCUUUAAAGUUUAAACUGGAAGGGGGCAGGUUAUAAAUUACAGAAUGCACGGGCUAAUUGUGUUUGCAUCCUAGCUAGCUACGAAGGGUCUUUAGUCUUAGCCACGACUUGUAUGAAGGACUGUUCCCAGUUCCUGGUGGGGUUGUGAAUAUGACUGGUCUUAAAGUUCUGUCUCUACAGAUGGACUAGCUUCUUAAAUGGCAGUAUGUAUAGUUCAACCCUUCUUAUCAUCUUUGAGUAAGAAAAAUCAAAGCUUUAAUUAUUCUGCAUGACUUUUCAUGCAUUCACCAUCGUGUGAAUACAUCAGAGUUUUUGGCCAAAUUUUCCACAUAAAAUUUAGAGAGUUUUAACGAAAUACUCCUGGUACUCAGUCUUAGCUACGACUUGUAUGAAGGACUGUUCCCAGUUCCUGUUGGGGUUGUCAAUAUGACUGGUCUUAAAGUUCUGUCCCUACAGAUGGACUAGCUACUUACAUGGCCGUAUGUACAGUUCAACCCUUCUUAUCAUCUUUGAGCAAGAAAAAUCAAAGCUUUAAUUAUUCUGUGUGACUUUUCAUGCAUUCACCAUCGUUUAUGGUUUUACCAACUACACAAACUGAGUCGUUUUUGCUCUUAUCUGUGGGAGUUUUAUGAGUUGUAUCUGGUGUGCCUUGCCAUGAAUAGUGAAGGAUCAUUGACUCUCUACUUCUUAGCAGUAGCUGGAUAGUCUUUCAUAUACAAUUGGAUCAUGAUAAUGUUUUGAGGCAUUUCAAAUUAUUCCACAUGUAAAUAGUUUUGAAUUCAGAGUUUAGUCUUUCAAUUUCAAGCUGGCA
This is an RNA transcript of Pyrus x bretschneideri (Chinese white pear), 2887 nucleotides long. RefSeq lists it as uncharacterized. NCBI's taxonomy places the organism in Eukaryota, Viridiplantae, Streptophyta, Magnoliopsida, Rosales, Rosaceae. The transcript has 12 exons. The record is from RefSeq and is a predicted model, not a curated record.